GGCUUAUUGAUAAUAAUUUUAAGUCUAUCUGCCCAAUGAUAUUAUAAUUAAAUGGCUGCAGUAUAAUUAACUGUACAAAGGUAGCAUAAUCAAUUGUUUUUUAAUUAAAAACUAGAAUGAAAGAAUUAAUGAGAUAUAUACUGUCUCAUAUAUAUAUAAUGAAAUUAAAUUUUUAGUAAAAAUGCUAAAAUAAAUUUAUGGGACGAUAAGACCCUAUAGAAUUUUAUAUUUAUAUUUAGAUUUAAAUUUGUUUUAAAUAUAAAUAUUUAAUUGGGAGGAUUGAUAAAUUUAAAUAACUUUAUUUAGAAUAAAACCUUUAAUUAAAGAAUAAUUUUUGAUCUUAUAUUAUAAAUUAAAAGAAAAAAUUACCUUAGGGAUAACAGCGUAAUAUCUUUUUAAAGAUCAUAUUAAUAAAGAUGAUUGCGACCUCGAUGUUGAAUUAAGAUAAAUUUUAAAUGGAGAAGUUUAAUAAUUAAGUCUGUUCGACUUUUAAAAUCUUACAUGAUUUGAGUUCAAAUCGACGUGAGU
Molecule: ribosomal RNA, 528 nt
Filed under: Bombus sichelii
Lineage: Eukaryota; Metazoa; Arthropoda; Insecta; Hymenoptera; Apidae
Description: partial 16S ribosomal RNA
Rfam family: Bacterial large subunit ribosomal RNA (bases 376-528)
Source: RNAcentral